GACGUAGGGCGCGAGCGUUGUCCGGAUUUAUUGGGCGUAAAGAGCUCGUAGGCGGCUUGUUGCGUCGACUGUGAAAACCCGCGGCUUAACUGCGGGCUUGCAGUUGAUACGGGCAGGCUAGAGUUCGGUAGGGGAGACUGGAACUCCUGGUGUAGCGGUGGAAUGCGCAGAUAUCAGGAAGAACACCAACGGCGAAGGCAGCUCGCUGGGACGGUACUGACGCUGAGACGCGAAAGCGUGGGGAGCGAACAGG
This 253-nucleotide ribosomal RNA is filed under the name uncultured bacterium. RNAcentral describes it as "partial 16S ribosomal RNA". It matches the Rfam family "Bacterial small subunit ribosomal RNA", at positions 524 to 776 of the family's 1533-position model. The record is from RNAcentral.